CUCUGGGAUUAGAUACCCUGUUAUUCCGCAGCUGAAAUCCGUCAUUUUUACUGCCUGGGAACUACGAGGGAACCCUUAAAACCCGAGGGACUUGGCGGUGCACUAUACCCCCCAGGGGAACCUGGCCCUUAAUUCGAUGAUCCACGAAUCUCUUACCUUUUCUUGUUUAGGCAUGCCCUCUGAGGCAUGCUUCUGUCAGUUUGCAUACCGCCGUUUUCAGCUUGUAUCGUGAGAUGAAAGAAACAGGCUAAUCAGUAUUGUGGCUGUGGCUUGGAAUUAGCCAAGUGAUGGCACUGCUAGGAAUUCAGGUAAACGUGUAGCCAAUGGAAAGGGGGUGCUGGGUUACAGUUGAAGUUUUAAGUGGAGAAUAGCCUGAAAAGGCAUUUGAAAGAGUACUUGGAAGUAAUGACUUUGGGCAAUGAAGUCGUGAAUAGUGCUCUGGUGUGUGUACCAAUCGCCCGUCACUCUCU
RNAcentral lists this ribosomal RNA (470 nucleotides) under Nipponacmea schrenckii. RNAcentral describes it as "partial 12S ribosomal RNA". It matches the Rfam family "Bacterial small subunit ribosomal RNA", at positions 770 to 1405 of the family's 1533-position model. Lineage: Eukaryota; Metazoa; Mollusca; Gastropoda; Lottiidae. The record is from RNAcentral.